This 497-nucleotide ribosomal RNA is filed under the name uncultured bacterium. RNAcentral's name for it is "partial 16S ribosomal RNA". It matches the Rfam family "Bacterial small subunit ribosomal RNA", at positions 28 to 507 of the family's 1533-position model. The record is from RNAcentral.
GAUGAACGCUGGCGGCGUGCCUAAUACAUGCGAGUCGAGCGAACGGACGAGACGCUUGCUUCUCGGAUGAUUGCGGCGGACGGGUGAGUAACACGUGGAUAACCUACUUAUAAGACUGGGAUAACUUCGGGAAACCGGAUCUAAUACCGGAUAAGAUUUUGAACCGCAUGGUUCAAAAGUGAAAGACGGUCUUGCUGUCACUUAUAGAUGGAUCCGCGCUGCAUUAGCUAGUUGGUAAGGUAACGGCUUACCAAGGCAACGAUGCAUAGCCGACAUGAGAGAGUGGUAGGCGACCCUAGAACGGAGACACGGACAAGAAUACUACGGGACGGACCAGACGGCAACCUGCCGCAGUAGGGGAAAACCUGACGGAACAACGGGGAGUGAGUUACGAAGACCUCGGGUUCGUAAUACUCUCUUACGGGGUAAAAACAGAUGUCGCAUUUACUGUGGACAUAUUGACGGUAACUAAUCAGAAAGCAACGGCUAACUACGUG